Molecule: long non-coding RNA, 272 nt
Filed under: Homo sapiens (human)
Lineage: Eukaryota; Metazoa; Chordata; Mammalia; Primates; Hominidae
Description: HSALNT0221333
Source: RNAcentral
GCAGGGAGGGACAGGGAGGAGCAGAAAGACCGUCUCAAGAACUGCCACUUAGAGAAGAGGUGCUGAGAAGGAAAAGAGGAAAGAAAAAAAAUAAACACAUGGAAGAAACUACUGUAUAUCAUUCAAAGAAAAGGGACAACAUAACUAUUAUUCAUCUUACUUCAGUUUACUCAUCUACCUUUUUCACGUCUCGUCCACAGCACGGCUAAUCUAUCUAUGGGGCAAUUAGGAAUCCCACUUAGUGAAAAUUCCUAUCAAAAAUAAAGGUAACA